Molecule: ribosomal RNA, 253 nt
Filed under: uncultured bacterium
Lineage: Bacteria
Description: partial 16S ribosomal RNA
Rfam family: Bacterial small subunit ribosomal RNA
Source: RNAcentral
UACGAAGGGGGCUAGCGUUGCUCGGAAUCACUGGGCGUAAAGCGCACGUAGGCGGCUUUUUAAGUCAGGGGUGAAAUCCUGGAGCUCAACUCCAGAACUGCCUUUGAUACUGGGAAGCUUGAGUCCGGGAGAGGUGAGUGGAACUCCGAGUGUAGAGGUGAAAUUCGUAGAUAUUCGGAAGAACACCAGUGGCGAAGGCGGCUCACUGGCCCGGUACUGACGCUGAGGUGCGAAAGCGUGGGGAGCGAACGGG